Molecule: ribosomal RNA, 497 nt
Filed under: uncultured bacterium
Lineage: Bacteria
Description: partial 16S ribosomal RNA
Rfam family: Bacterial small subunit ribosomal RNA
Source: RNAcentral
GAUGAACGCUGGCGGCGUGCCUAAUACAUGCAAGUCGAGCGAACAGACCAGGAGCUUGCGCCUCUGACGUUAGCGCCCGACGGGUGAGUAACACGUGGAUAACCUAGCUAUAAGACUGGGAUAACAUCGGGAAACAGGAGCUAAUACCGGAUAAUAUAUUGAACCACAUGGAGCAAUAGUGAAAGUAGGUUUUGCUGGCAGUUAUAGAUGGAUCCGCGUCGGAUUAGCUAGUUGGUAAGGUAACGGCUUACCAAGGCAACGAUGGUUAGCCGACCUGAGCGGGUGGUCGCCCACAUUGGAACUGAGGCACGGUCCAGACUCCUGCGGGAGGCAGCAGUAGGGACUCUUCCGCGAGGGGCGAGAGCCUGACGGUGCAACGCGGCGUGAGGGAUGAAGGUCUUCGGAUGGUUAAGCUCUGUUGUUAGGAGAGAACAAAUGUGUAAUUAGCGGGGCACGUAAUGACGGUACCUACACAGAAAGCCCCGGCUAACUUCGUG